RNAcentral lists this ribosomal RNA (36 nucleotides) under Robinia pseudoacacia. RNAcentral describes it as "partial 26S ribosomal RNA". RNAcentral also lists the same sequence under 1 other name. Lineage: Eukaryota; Viridiplantae; Streptophyta; Magnoliopsida; Fabales; Fabaceae. The record is from RNAcentral.
GAGACCUCAGGUCAGGCGGGGCUACCCGCUGAGUUU